UGGCGGCGUGCCUAACACAUGCAAGUAGAGCGCGAAAGGGGGCAACCCUGAGUAGAGCUGCGAACGGGUGAGUAACGCGUGGGUAAUCUUCCUUCGAGUGGGGAACAACAUCGGGAAACUGGUGCUAAUUCCGCAUAACACCUCGGGAUCUAAGUUCCGAGUUCAAAGCCGGGGACCGCAAGGCCUGGCGCUUGAAGAUGAGCCCGCGUUCGAUUAGCUAGUUGGCGGGGUAAUGGCCCACCAAGGCUUCGAUCGAUAGCCGGCCUGAGAGGGCGGACGGCCACACUGGAACUGAGACACGGUCCAGACUCCUACGGGAGGCAGCAGUGGGGAAUUUUUCGCAAUGGGGGAAACCCUGACGAAGCAACGCCGCGUGGAGGAUGAAGGUCUUCGGAUUGUAAACUCCUGUCGACUGGGACGAAGGUGCCCGACCUAAUACGUCGGUGUAUUGACGGUACCAGUGGAGGAAGCCACGGCUAACUCUGUGCCAGCAGCCGCGGUAAUACAGAGGUGGCAAGCGUUGUUCGGAAUUACUGGGCGUAAAGGGCGCGUAGGCGGCCUUGUAAGUCUCGUGUGAAAUCCCUCGGCUUAACUGAGGAUCUGCACGGGAGACUGCUUGGCUCGAGUUCGGGAGAGGGAAGCGGAAUUCCGGGUGUAGCGGUGAAAUGCGUAGAUAUCCGGAGGAACACCAGAGGCGAAGGCGGCUUCCUGGACCGACACUGACGCUGAGGCGCGAAAGCUAGGGGAGCAAACGGGAUUAGAUACCCCGGUAGUCCUAGCUGUAAACGAUGAGUGCUGGGUGUGGGGGGUUUUUACUCCCUCCGUGCCGAAGCUAACGCAUUAAGCACUCCGCCUGGGGAGUACGGUCGCAAGGCU
Molecule: ribosomal RNA, 876 nt
Filed under: uncultured bacterium
Lineage: Bacteria
Description: bacterial SSU rRNA
Rfam family: Bacterial small subunit ribosomal RNA
Source: RNAcentral